GAUGAAGAACGCAGUGAAAUGCGAUAAGUAAUGUGAAUUGCAGAAUUCAGUGAAUCAUCGAAUCUUUGAACGCAUCUUGCGCUCCUUGGUAUUCUGAGGAGCAUGCCUGUUUGAGUGUCAUCAAAUUCUCAACCACUUCUUUUGAUGUGGCUUUGGAUAUGGGGGGAUUUCUUUUUUGCAGGCUUCUGAAAAACAAAGUCGGCUCCCCUGAAAUGUAUUAGUGGUGUCUGAGCAGGAGACUACUAUGGGUGUGAUAAAUCUAUCUAUGCCUUGGUACAACUGCUAUGCCGCUUCUAGCGAGUGCAUUUGACAAAUUUGACCUCAAAUCAGGUAGGACUACCCGCUGAACUUAAGCAUAUCAAUAAGCGGAGGA
This 373-nucleotide unclassified non-coding RNA is filed under the name soil metagenome. Its description in RNAcentral is "partial contains 5.8S ribosomal RNA, internal transcribed spacer 2, and large subunit ribosomal RNA". The stretch from base 1 to 120 matches the Rfam family "5.8S ribosomal RNA", at positions 35 to 154 of the family's 154-position model. The record is from RNAcentral.